This 1665-nucleotide ribosomal RNA is filed under the name Triticum aestivum (bread wheat). RNAcentral's name for it is "partial small subunit ribosomal RNA". Lineage: Eukaryota; Viridiplantae; Streptophyta; Magnoliopsida; Poales; Poaceae. The record is from RNAcentral.
AUGGAGGCCACUGCCACACUCACGCUCUCUUCGUCUCCCACCGGCGCCCGCCGCUCGCCAGCCAGGCCCACCGGCGCCUCCCUUCACCUCCGCCGCGUGCCCACUCUCUCAUUCCACCUCCGCGGGGCCCAAGGUCCCGCUGCCUUCCGCGCCCUCUCUUCCCCGUUCCCGGGAUGCAGGAGGAGGAGGCGGGGAAGCGGGAUGGUUGUGAGGGCGGAGAUGUUCGGGCAGCUCACCACCGGGCUGGAGUCCGCGUGGAACAAGCUGCGAGGCGUCGAUCGACUGACAAAGGAGAAUAUCGCUGAACCAAUGCGGGAUAUUAGAAGAGCACUUUUGGAGGCAGAUGUAAGUGUGCCAGUAGCAAGAAGUUUUAUCGAGUCCGUUACUGAAAAGGCUGUAGGCACUGAUGUGAUCCGGGGUGUCCAACCUGAGCAGCAGUUAGUGAAGGUUGUGAAUGAUGAACUUGUACAACUGAUGGGUGGAGAGGUGUCAGAUUUAGUAUUUGCAAAAACUGGCCCAACGGUUAUCCUAUUGGCAGGUCUGCAAGGUGUUGGGAAAACUACCGUCUGUGCUAAGCUUGCCUUCUAUCUGAAAAAGAUGGGGAAGAGUUGUAUGCUGGUUGCUGCAGAUGUUUACCGGCCUGCUGCUAUUGACCAACUCACUAUUCUGGGUAAAAAGGUUGGUGUACCAGUUUACUCAGAAGGAACGGAAGCAAAACCUUCAGAGAUUGCCAAGAACGGUUUGAAAGAAGCAAAGAGCAAGAAGACCGAUGUAGUUAUAGUGGAUACUGCUGGAAGAUUGCAGGUAGAUAAAGCUAUGAUGAAUGAGUUGAAAGAAGUAAAGAAAGCAGUGAAGCCUACAGAAAUUCUUCUUGUGGUUGAUGCUAUGACUGGCCAAGAAGCUGCAGCAUUGGUCGGCGCCUUCAAUGUUGAAAUUGGUAUAACUGGUGCUAUACUGACAAAACUGGAUGGUGACUCCAGAGGUGGGGCAGCACUAAGUAUCAAAGAGGUGUCUGGAAAGCCCAUCAAGUUCAUAGGCCGAGGAGAACGUGUUGAGGAUCUUGAGCCUUUCUAUCCAGAUCGUAUGGCGCAACGUAUCUUGGGAAUGGGAGAUGUACUUUCAUUUGUUGAGCAAGCACAGCAAGUGAUGAAUCAAGAAGAUGCUGAGGAAUUACAGAAGAAGAUCAUGAGUGCAAAGUUUAACUUCAAUGAUUUCUUGAAGCAAACAAAAGCUAUUGCACAAAUGGGUUCGUUCAGUCGUAUAAUUGGGAUGAUUCCAGGCAUGAACAAGGUUACUCCAGCACAAAUCCGUGAAGCUGAGAAAAACGUGAAGUUUAUGGAGUCAAUGAUCAAUGUGAUGACUGCUGAUGAAAGGGAAAGACCAGAGUUACUUGCUGAGUCACGCGAGAGGAGGAGAAGAGUGGCCAAGGACGCUGGAAAGACAGAACAGCAGGUGAGCCAACUAGUAUCGCAGCUUUUCCAAAUGCGCACUCGAAUGCAGAAGAUGAUGGCUGGCAUGCAAGGAAAAGAUACACCCGACAUGGAAAAUCUCGCGGAGUCCAUCAAAGCCGAAGAACAGGCUGCCGUGGCUACUGGUAAGCGCAGGAGGAAGUACGGCAACCUGAGGCAGCGGGACCUGGACUCGAUGCGCGGUUACCGCCGGUGA